Molecule: small nuclear RNA, 105 nt
Organism: Suncus etruscus (white-toothed pygmy shrew)
Lineage: Eukaryota; Metazoa; Chordata; Mammalia; Eulipotyphla; Soricidae
Source: RefSeq, a predicted model, not a curated record
UUAAUAAAAUUUGGCAGCACAUAUACUAAAAUUGGAACGAUACAGAGAUUAGCUUGGCCCCUGUGCAAGGAUGACACAUAAAAUUAUUUGUUACUAGACUUUUGU